GAUGAAGAACGCAGCAAAAUGCGAUAAGUAAUGUGAAUUGCAGAAUUCAGUGAAUCAUCGAAUCUUUGAACGCACAUUGCGCCCGCUGGUAUUCCGGCGGGCAUGCCUGUUCGAGCGUCAUUUCAACCCUCAAGCCCCCGGGUUUGGUGUUGGGGAUCGGCUCUGCCCUUCUGGGCGGUGCCGCCCCCGAAAUACAUUGGCGGUCUCGCUGCAGCCUCCAUUGCGUAGUAGCUAACACCUCGCAACUGGAACGCGGCGCGGCCAUGCCGUAAAGCCCCAACUUCUGAAUGUUGACCUCGGAUCAGGUAGGAAUACCCGCUGAACUUAAGCAUAUCAAUAAGCGGAGGA
This 348-nucleotide unclassified non-coding RNA is filed under the name soil metagenome. RNAcentral describes it as "partial contains 5.8S ribosomal RNA, internal transcribed spacer 2, and large subunit ribosomal RNA". The stretch from base 1 to 120 matches the Rfam family "5.8S ribosomal RNA", at positions 35 to 154 of the family's 154-position model. The record is from RNAcentral.